AGUCAAUUGGUGCUUCAAACACAGCAGGCUUAGUAGUGAAUUCAAUAGGAAAAAUUAUUCCAGUUGACUUUAAAAGAUGGAUAACGCUACCAACACAGCCAAUAAUAAAAGCGAAAUAGAGUAUUGCACUGAAUCCAAUUUUCUUCAAUUGAAAGAGCAUAGGUUUCUCUAAAAUUUCACGAAUUGGAUGAAAUUGAGGAUCAUUUGGAUCACGCAAAAAAUACAGGACUCCAGGACGAACAAUUUUACGUACCAUGGAAAUGAAAACCGCAAACUCAAACAUAAAUGUUAUCCCAAUGAACCAUGCCAAAAAAAUGCUUUGUGCUGGAUAAACUGUCAUUACAUUGAGAAGAUUCUCGGCAGCAAGCUUUUUGAAAGUGCCAAUUAAGCACAUGCUUAGCAAUAUCCCGCAGAAAAUAGGAAAAACAACCAAUUCGAUAGAAAAAAUUAUUCCGAAUUUUGCUAUAGAUCCGCAUUGUCUCAAAACUUCUCUAAAAGCUAAUUCCACAUUCCUGAUUUGAGGGUCAUUAAAUAGAAAUUGUUUGCGAUUAAGAUAUGAAAUCCCUAAAAACGUA
Schizosaccharomyces pombe (fission yeast) is the source of this 575-nucleotide non-coding RNA. The record is from the annotation of a GenBank genome assembly. NCBI's taxonomy places the organism in Eukaryota, Fungi, Ascomycota, Schizosaccharomycetes, Schizosaccharomycetales, Schizosaccharomycetaceae.